RNAcentral lists this ribosomal RNA (249 nucleotides) under uncultured bacterium. RNAcentral's name for it is "partial 16S ribosomal RNA". It matches the Rfam family "Bacterial small subunit ribosomal RNA", at positions 122 to 353 of the family's 1533-position model. The record is from RNAcentral.
CAACCUGCCCUUCAGAGGGGGACAACAGUUGGAAACGACUGCUAAUACCGCAUACGAUCUGACCUCGGCAUCGGGGAUGGAUGAAAGGUGGCCUCUAUUUAUAAGCUAUCACUGAAGGAGGGGAUUGCGUCUGAUUAGCUAGUUGGAGGGGUAACGGCCCACCAAGGCGAUGAUCAGUAGCCGGUCUGAGAGGGUGAUCGGCCACAUUGGGACUGAGACACGGCCCAGACUCCUACGGGAGGCAGCAUG